This 253-nucleotide ribosomal RNA is filed under the name uncultured bacterium. Its description in RNAcentral is "partial 16S ribosomal RNA". It matches the Rfam family "Bacterial small subunit ribosomal RNA", at positions 524 to 776 of the family's 1533-position model. The record is from RNAcentral.
UACGUAGGGGGCUAGCGUUGUCCGGAAUCAUUGGGCGUAAAGCGCGUGUAGGCGGCCCGGUACGUCCGCUGUGAAAGUCGGGGGCUCAACCCUCGAAUGCCGGUGGAUACUGUCGGGCUAGAGUACGGAAGAGGCGAGUGGAAUUCCUGGUGUAGCGGUGAAAUGCGCAGAUAUCAGGAGGAACACCCAUUGCGAAGGCAGCUCGCUGGGACGUUACUGACGCUGAGACGCGAAAGCGUGGGGAGCAAACAGG